RNAcentral lists this ribosomal RNA (466 nucleotides) under uncultured bacterium. RNAcentral describes it as "bacterial SSU rRNA". It matches the Rfam family "Bacterial small subunit ribosomal RNA", at positions 338 to 795 of the family's 1533-position model. The record is from RNAcentral.
CCUANGGGGGGCUGCAGUCGAGAGGCUUUGGCAAUGGGGGAAACCCUGACCAAGCGACGCCGCGUGGAGGAUGAAGGCCCUUGGGUUGUAAACUCCUUUUGUUGGGGAAGAAGUGCGAUCAGGUGAACAAUCUGGUCGUUUGACGGUACCCAGCGAAUAAGCUCCGGCUAACUCCGUACCAGCAGCCGCGGUAACACGGGGGGAGCAAGCGUUGUUCGGAAUCACUGGGCGUAAAGGGCGUGUAGGCGGUCAGGUAAGUGGAAUGUGAAAUGCCCCGGCUCACCCGGGGACCGGCAUCCCAAACUGCCUGGCUUGAGUAUGGGAGAGGAUGGAGGAAUUCCUGGUGUAGCGGUGAAAUGCGUAGAUAUCAGGAGGAACACCGGUGGCGAAGGCGUCCAUCUGGCCCAAUACUGACGCUGAGGCGCGAAAGCUAGGGGAGCGAACGGGAUUAGAUACCCUGNUANUC